AAACCGAAGCUAAUACCGGAUAGGAUCUUCUCCUUCAUGGGAGAUGAUUGAAAGAUGGUUUCGGCUAUCACUUACAGAUGGGCCCGCGGUGCAUUAGCUAGUUGGUGAGGUAACGGCUCACCAAGGCAACGAUGCAUAGCCGACCUGAGAGGGUGAUCGGCCACACUGGGACUGAGACACGGCCCAGACUCCUACGGGAGGCAGCAGUAGGGAAUCUUCCGCAAUGGACGAAAGUCUGACGGAGCAACGCCGCGUGAGUGAUGAAGGCUUUCGGGUCGUAAAACUCUGUUGUUAGGGAAGAACAAGUACGAGAGUAACUGCUUGUACCUUGACGGUACCUAACCAGAAAGCCACGGCUAACUACGUGCCAGCAGCCGCGGUAAUACGUAGGUGGCAAGCGUUAUCCGGAAUUAUUGGGCGUAAAGCGCGCGCAGGC
Molecule: ribosomal RNA, 436 nt
Filed under: Priestia megaterium
Lineage: Bacteria; Bacillati; Bacillota; Bacilli; Caryophanales; Bacillaceae
Description: bacterial SSU rRNA
Rfam family: Bacterial small subunit ribosomal RNA
Source: RNAcentral